This 320-nucleotide ribosomal RNA is filed under the name uncultured eukaryote. Its description in RNAcentral is "partial 18S ribosomal RNA". It matches the Rfam family "Eukaryotic small subunit ribosomal RNA", at positions 1470 to 1796 of the family's 1831-position model. The record is from RNAcentral.
CCCCUAGAUGUUCUGGGCCGCACGCGCGCUACACUGAACAGUUCAACAAGUCUUAACCUUGGCCGAUAGGUCUGGGUAAUCUUUGAACGCUGUUCGUGAUUGGGAUAGACCUUUGCAAUUAUGGGUCUUCAACGAGGAAUUCCUAGUAAACGCAAGUCAUCAGCUUGCAUUGAUUACGUCCCUGCCCUUUGUACACACCGCCCGUCGCACCUACCGAUUGAAUGGUCCGGUGAAAUCUCGGGACGGCGGCUUGGUCGCUUGCGUCCGACUGCAGAAACUUGAUUAAACCAUAUCAUUUAGAGGAAGGUGAANUCGUANCA